This 573-nucleotide ribosomal RNA is filed under the name Salmonella enterica subsp. enterica serovar Gallinarum. RNAcentral describes it as "bacterial SSU rRNA". It matches the Rfam family "Bacterial small subunit ribosomal RNA", at positions 960 to 1533 of the family's 1533-position model. The record is from RNAcentral. RNAcentral also lists the same sequence under 2 other names. Lineage: Bacteria; Pseudomonadati; Pseudomonadota; Gammaproteobacteria; Enterobacterales; Enterobacteriaceae.
CGCGAAGAACCUUACCUGGUCUUGACAUCCACAGAAGAAUCCAGAGAUGGAUUUGUGCCUUCGGGAACUGUGAGACAGGUGCUGCAUGGCUGUCGUCAGCUCGUGUUGUGAAAUGUUGGGUUAAGUCCCGCAACGAGCGCAACCCUUAUCCUUUGUUGCCAGCGAUUAGGUCGGGAACUCAAAGGAGACUGCCAGUGAUAAACUGGAGGAAGGUGGGGAUGACGUCAAGUCAUCAUGGCCCUUACGACCAGGGCUACACACGUGCUACAAUGGCGCAUACAAAGAGAAGCGACCUCGCGAGAGCAAGCGGACCUCAUAAAGUGCGUCGUAGUCCGGAUUGGAGUCUGCAACUCGACUCCAUGAAGUCGGAAUCGCUAGUAAUCGUGGAUCAGAAUGCCACGGUGAAUACGUUCCCGGGCCUUGUACACACCGCCCGUCACACCAUGGGAGUGGGUUGCAAAAGAAGUAGGUAGCUUAACCUUCGGGAGGGCGCUUACCACUUUGUGAUUCAUGACUGGGGUGAAGUCGUAACAAGGUAACCGUAGGGGAACCUGCGGUUGGAUCACCUCCUUA